This 443-nucleotide ribosomal RNA is filed under the name uncultured bacterium. RNAcentral describes it as "bacterial SSU rRNA". It matches the Rfam family "Bacterial small subunit ribosomal RNA", at positions 354 to 796 of the family's 1533-position model. The record is from RNAcentral.
GUGAGGAAUAUUGGUCAAUGGGCGCAAGCCUGAACCAGCGACGCCGCGUGCGGGAUGAAGGGGCUUUGCCUCGUAAACCGCUGUCGGAUGGGACGAAAGGUGGCUUUGAGCCACUGGGACGGUACCAUCAAAGGAAGGAUCGGCUAACUACGUGCCAGCAGCCGCGGUAAUACGUAGGAUCCGAGCGUUGUCCGGAGUUACUGGGUGUAAAGGGUGCGUAGGCUGUUCUGUGCGUCAGAGGUGAAAUCCACGGGCUUAACUCGUGGGGUGCCUUUGAUACGGCAGGGCUUGAGUACGAGAGAGGUGCGUGGAAUUCCUGGUGUAGCAGUGAAAUGCGUAGAUAUCAGGAGGAACACCGGUGGCGAAGGCGGCGCACUGGCUCGUAACUGACGCUGAGGCACGAAAGCGUGGGGAUCAAACAGGAUUAGAUACCCGUGUAGUCC